This is a long non-coding RNA of Frieseomelitta varia, 671 nucleotides long. RefSeq lists it as uncharacterized. The record is from RefSeq and is a predicted model, not a curated record. NCBI's taxonomy places the organism in Eukaryota, Metazoa, Arthropoda, Insecta, Hymenoptera, Apidae. The transcript has 3 exons.
AGCGAGGGGUCUUUCGUCGGAGAGUGGUGGUUGGAUGGAUGGAGGUGGCACACGAGUUUAGAUGAACGUCAAGCUUUUACGAUUGAAUAUCAGACUGAUGCGUAAAUUCUACUUACGUGCAUACAGUGUUUGUAGAGAAGCUCGCCCAUGCGAAAAGAGUGUUGCACUUUCGAGUGUACCAUUUAUCACCAGCGAAUGAUCUCGAUGAUCGAUCGGAUACCGCCAAAUCAACUUAAUAACGCAAAUGAAUUUCCCCAUCGUUAUUUGGAGAACGAAACUUCGAGAAAAUAUGAUUCGUUGCCAACACACUUCAUUAAGAAAUGUAAUGUAACUACCAAUGGCGCGAAGUAAUCUGUAUAUGCACAUUCAGUUGGUAAUAUGCGUUCGUCGAGUAAUAUAAUAAUGGCCGCCUCGAGAGAUGUCAAAUUAAUCAAAUGGUGCGAUAAUUUACCUUUUAAAAAUGCUGUGCAUCAUUAGAUGUUUGAAACUUUGCACAAUUACGUAUAUCAAAGGUGAAAAUAGAUCAGUUGUGAUUGACACGAUGUGUAUUUUAACGACACUGUUUAUACAACUUUAGGCAAUCAAUUAAGGCUACAAAUCUAAAAAUAGAAUGUGUGCGUGCAUGUGCGAUUGCAAAUAAACUGCAAGCUAUAAAAUAAAUCUCUCCAUAC